Molecule: ribosomal RNA, 771 nt
Filed under: Xanthomonas sp. XNM01
Lineage: Bacteria; Pseudomonadati; Pseudomonadota; Gammaproteobacteria; Lysobacterales; Lysobacteraceae
Description: partial 23S ribosomal RNA
Rfam family: Bacterial large subunit ribosomal RNA
Source: RNAcentral
GGCGCUAGCUGCAGUGGAGCCAUCCUUGAAAUACCACCCUGAUGUGCUUGACGUUCUAACCUGGGCCCGUAAUCCGGGUCGGGGACCGUGUAUGGUGGGUAGUUUGACUGGGGCGGUCUCCUCCUAAAGAGUAACGGAGGAGCUCGAAGGUACGCUCAGCGCGGUCGGACAUCGCGCACUGUGUGCAAAGGCAUAAGCGUGCUUGACUGCAAGAUCGACGGAUCAAGCAGGUAGGAAACUAGGACUUAGUGAUCCGGUGGUUCUGUAUGGAAGGGCCAUCGCUCAACGGAUAAAAGGUACUCCGGGGAUAACAGGCUGAUACCGCCCAAGAGUUCAUAUCGACGGCGGUGUUUGGCACCUCGAUGUCGGCUCAUCACAUCCUGGGGCUGUAGUCGGUCCCAAGGGUAUGGCUGUUCGCCAUUUAAAGUGGUACGCGAGCUGGGUUCAGAACGUCGUGAGACAGUUCGGUCCCUAUCUGCCAUGGGCGUUGGAGAUUUGAGAGGGGCUGCUCCUAGUACGAGAGGACCGGAGUGGACGAACCUCUGGUGUUCCGGUUGUCACGCCAGUGGCAUUGCCGGGUAGCUAUGUUCGGAAGCGAUAACCGCUGAAAGCAUCUAAGCGGGAAGCGCGCCUCAAGAUGAGAUCUCCCGGGGCACAAGCCCCCUGAAGGAACCAUCAAGACUAGGUGGUUGAUAGGUCAGGUGUGUAAGUACAGCAAUGUAUUGAGCUAACUGAUACUAAUGAUCCGUGUGGCUUGACCAUAUAACCUCA